This 490-nucleotide ribosomal RNA is filed under the name uncultured bacterium. RNAcentral describes it as "partial 16S ribosomal RNA". It matches the Rfam family "Bacterial small subunit ribosomal RNA", at positions 28 to 507 of the family's 1533-position model. The record is from RNAcentral.
GAUGAACGCUAGCGAUAGGCUUAACACAUGCAAGUCGAGGGGCAGCAUGGUCUUAGCUUGCUAAGACUGAUGGCGACCGGCGCACGGGUGCGUAACGCGUAUGCAACUUGCCUCACAGAGGGGGAUAACCCGUCGAAAGACGGACUAAUACCGCGUACACUCUAUUUUGGGCAUCCAAGGUAGAGGAAAUGAAAUUCGCUGUGAGAUAGGCAUGCGUCCCAUUAGCUAGUUGGUGAGGUAACGGCUCACCAAGGCGACGAUGGGUAGGGGAACUGAGAGGUUGAACCCCCAAGCUGGUACUGAGACACGGACCAGACUCCUACGGGAGGCAGCAGUGAGGAAUAUUGGUCAAUGGGCGAGAGCCUGAACCAGCCAAGUCGCGUGAAGGAUGACUGUCUUAUGGAUUGUAAACUUCUUUUGAAGGGGAAUAAAGAGGGGCACGUGUGCCCCAGUGAAUGUACCCUACGAAUAAGCAGCGGCUAACUCCGUG